AGGUGAAAAAGCUGUGUGAUGGGGGAGGCUACUUUCCAUUUCUGGGAAGAAGGACCCCUGCGGGUGUGUCCUGAAGGAACUUGCGGGGGACAAGCCAGCAGUGGGAGUCCCACCGCACCUGUGAGAGAAGUGGGGAGCUGUGUUCUCAUGACACUUAAAAGAGAAGACCAAAGAGAAGCAGAGCAGCCAGGGCUCACGUGUGGCCGCCCCGUGGUGGAAAUUCCCGGCCACUACAUAGCACGCCGGAGAGGGAAUGUGGAAAAGAAGCUAGGAACUAGAUCAAUGAGAUUCAGAACGGGUUCUAGAUACUAUUGUUUUCCUGUCAAGAGGCAUUGAAAGAGGAGAGGGAAUGCUGGAGUGUAGCUCCCAGGUAGCCUGCUUCAGGACCAAGGCUCUGGUCUCAUCAGUUGUCAGAAGCACUGACUGCUGGUGGGCUGACUCCCUGAACACCGUGGAAAGCUCCCUCAGGCAGAGGGCUGCUUCCCCAACUUCAGCCCUUCUCUGAAGGACUAGCUGCCUCUGCAUUGAUGUUCAAGUUUUCCCUUUGCCUUUUUCUCUUUUCCUUACUUCCACUCUUCCCCAAAGCAUUCCCAAAUAAAUUUCCUUCUUG
Long non-coding RNA from Bubalus bubalis (water buffalo), 610 nucleotides. RefSeq lists it as uncharacterized. NCBI's taxonomy places the organism in Eukaryota, Metazoa, Chordata, Mammalia, Artiodactyla, Bovidae. The transcript is spliced from 3 exons. The record is from RefSeq and is a predicted model, not a curated record.